Molecule: unclassified non-coding RNA, 221 nt
Filed under: uncultured Tomentella
Lineage: Eukaryota; Fungi; Basidiomycota; Agaricomycetes; Thelephorales; Thelephoraceae
Description: sequence contains ITS2
Source: RNAcentral
ACAUCUCAACUCCUCACGGUUCGCCCGUGAUGAGCUUGGACUUUGGGGGUCUUGCUGGCCUGCAGGUCGGCUCCUCUCAAAUGAAUCAGCUUGCCGGUGUUUGGUGGCGUCACAGGUGUGAUAACUAUCUACGCUUGUGGUUUUCCGCCAGGUAACCUCCAACGAUGGGGGUUCACUGGAGCUCACAAACGUCUCUCCUCGGUGAGGACAGCUCUUUGAAU